RNAcentral lists this small RNA (300 nucleotides) under Histoplasma capsulatum var. duboisii H88. Its description in RNAcentral is "Histoplasma capsulatum H88 hypothetical RNA". The record is from RNAcentral. Lineage: Eukaryota; Fungi; Ascomycota; Eurotiomycetes; Onygenales; Ajellomycetaceae.
UUGGCUUGGAAAGUCUGCCCCUUCGAACGUGCUGAGCGAUGCACAAUCGAGGAGGGAGGGUUGUAUGUGGAUGUUAACUGGCAGUUUGAACAUAUCUGAUAUGUCCGCGGAUAAAACGGGCCUUCAUCUAACUUGCGAGGUCAAGUGAGAUCAGCUAUGCUGGGUCCAUGCAACUGUGUUCCUGGCCUUGCUUCAAUAUAAUGUGCCAGAUGCAAAGCAUAGUGCGCAAUACGCUGAUGAAGCAGUGCUUGACAAUCAGUAUAACUGUAUAUAAAUCAAAAUUAAAUAAAUCAAGUAAAA